RNAcentral lists this ribosomal RNA (446 nucleotides) under uncultured bacterium. RNAcentral describes it as "partial 16S ribosomal RNA". It matches the Rfam family "Bacterial small subunit ribosomal RNA", at positions 338 to 795 of the family's 1533-position model. The record is from RNAcentral.
CCUACGGGAGGCAGCAGUCGAGAAUCAUUCACAAUGGGGGAAACCCUGAUGGUGCGACGCCGCGUGGGGGAAUGAAGGUCUUCGGAUUGUAAACCCCUGUCAUGUGGGAGCAAAUUAAAAAGAUAGUACCACAAGAGGAAGAGACGGCUAACUCUGUGCCAGCAGCCGCGGUAAUACAGAGGUCUCAAGCGUUGUUCGGAAUCACUGGGCCUAAAGCGUGCGUAGGCUGUUUUGUAAGUCGUGUGUGAAAGGCGCGGGCUCAACCCGCGGACGGCACAUGAUACUGGGAGACUAGAGUAAUGGAGGGGGAACCGGAAUUCUCGGUGUAGCAGUGAAAUGCGUAGAUAUCGAGAGGAACACUCGAGGCGAAGGCGGGUUACUGGACAUUAACUGACGCUGAGGCACGAAGGCCAGGGGAGCGAAAGGGAUUAGAUACCCGUGUAGUC